AUUCCUACGGGGGGCAGCAGUGAGGAAUAUUGGUCAAUGGGCGGAAGCCUGAACCAGCCAAGUCGCGUGAGGGAAUAAGGCCCUACGGGUCGUAAACCUCUUUUGCCGGGGAGCAAAGAGCGGGACGCGUCCCGCCUCGAGAGUACCCGGAGAAAAAGCAUCGGCUAACUCCGUGCCAGCAGCCGCGGUAAUACGGAGGAUGCGAGCGUUAUCCGGAUUUAUUGGGUUUAAAGGGUGCGCAGGCGGAAGCGCAAGUCAGCGGUAAAAUUGAGAGGCUCAACCUCUUCCCGCCGU
RNAcentral lists this ribosomal RNA (294 nucleotides) under uncultured bacterium. Its description in RNAcentral is "partial 16S ribosomal RNA". It matches the Rfam family "Bacterial small subunit ribosomal RNA", at positions 335 to 627 of the family's 1533-position model. The record is from RNAcentral.